GAUGAACGCUGGCGGCGUGCCUAAUACAUGCAAGUCGAGCGAACGGACGAGAAGCUUGCUUCUCUGAUGUUAGCGGCGGACGGGUGAGUAACACGUGGAUAACCUACCUAUAAGACUGGGAUAACUUCGGGAAACCGUAGCUAAUACCGGAUAAUAUUUUGAACCGCAUGGUUCAAAAGUGAAAGACGGUCCUGCUGUCACUUAUAGAUGGAUCCGCGCUGCAUUAGCUAGUUGGUAAGGUAACGGCUUACCAAGGCAACGAUGCAUAGCCGACCUGAGAGGGUGAUCGGCCACACUGGAACUGAGACACGGUCCAGACUCCUACGGGAGGCAGCAGUAGGGAAUCUUCCGCAAAGGGCGAAAGCCUGACGGAGCAACGCCGCGUGAGUGAUGAAGGUCUUCGGAUCGUAAAACUCUGUUAUUAGGGAAGAACAUAUGUGUAAGUAACUGUGCACAUCUUGACGGUACCUAAUCAGAAAGCCACGGCUAACUACGUG
RNAcentral lists this ribosomal RNA (497 nucleotides) under uncultured bacterium. Its description in RNAcentral is "partial 16S ribosomal RNA". It matches the Rfam family "Bacterial small subunit ribosomal RNA", at positions 28 to 507 of the family's 1533-position model. The record is from RNAcentral.